RNAcentral lists this long non-coding RNA (471 nucleotides) under Cercocebus atys (sooty mangabey). RNAcentral's name for it is "lncRNA (ENSCATG00000045661.1)". Lineage: Eukaryota; Metazoa; Chordata; Mammalia; Primates; Cercopithecidae. The record is from RNAcentral.
AAUUUAUCACACUGUACUACUGGCACCUUGUCUUAUGUCUUCCUCCCACAUCAGAUCUUGAGCAACUUGCUGAUAGGAAUCUGAAACCAUUGACUAGAGGGGCUGUCAGAAGUGCCUGUUGCAUUCAGAUGUAUUUCCUCUGUUCUUUCUACUCUGUUCUACCUGUACCCAGAAAAGAAACUAGAAGAAUAAAAUCUACUGAGGUUAACAAACCUCUGAGGUGACGUAGAGAAGAACUCGAAGUGCCCUAAUGGAGGAAAGUGGCUGGGACUUCCCAGGUCAUUCGGAAGGAUACUUAGGUGGUGCCUCUACUAUUCCUGCUCCAGCUGAGCCUAUACUUGUUGGAUAUGUACCUUUCAAGUAUGGAAAACCUAGAUGUCGGCUGUGGAAACAAAACUCAUCUUCAAAAGGAAAAUAAAAAUCAGACCUAUGCUAGAUACCAUGUUACACAUAUUUGAGAAAAAUUCUCAG